CGGGGGGGCAAGCGUUGUUCGGAAUUACUGGGCGUAAAGGGCUCGUAGGUGGCCAACUAAGUCAGACGUGAAAUCCCCAGGCUUAACCUGGGAACUGCGUCUGAUACUGGAUGGCUUGAAUUCGGGAGAGGGAUGCAGAAUUCCAGGUGUAGCGGUGAAAUGCGUAGAUAUCUGGAGGAAUACCGGUGGCGAAGGCGGCAUCCUGGACCGAGAUUGACACUGAUGAGCGAAAGCCAGGGGAGCAAACGGGAUUAGAUACCCCGGUAGUCCUGGCCCUAAACGAUGAAUGCUUGGUGUGACGGGUAUCGAUCCCUGUCGUGCCGAAGCUAACGCAUUAAGCAUUCCGCCUGGGGAGUACGGUCGCAAGGCUG
Molecule: ribosomal RNA, 371 nt
Filed under: uncultured organism
Description: bacterial SSU rRNA
Rfam family: Bacterial small subunit ribosomal RNA
Source: RNAcentral